Molecule: ribosomal RNA, 1530 nt
Filed under: Escherichia coli KTE182
Lineage: Bacteria; Pseudomonadati; Pseudomonadota; Gammaproteobacteria; Enterobacterales; Enterobacteriaceae
Also listed under: 1 other name
Description: bacterial SSU rRNA
Rfam family: Bacterial small subunit ribosomal RNA
Source: RNAcentral
AGAGUUUGAUCAUGGCUCAGAUUGAACGCUGGCGGCAGGCCUAACACAUGCAAGUCGAACGGUAACAGGAAGCAGCUUGCUGCUUUGCUGACGAGUGGCGGACGGGGGAGUAAUGUCUGGGAAACUGCCUGAUGGAGGGGGAUAACUACUGGAAACGGUAGCUAAUACCGCAUAACGUCGCAAGACCAAAGAGGGGGACCUUAGGGCCUCUUGCCAUCGGAUGUGCCCAGAUGGGAUUAGCUAGUAGGUGGGGUAACGGCUCACCUAGGCGACGAUCCCUAGCUGGUCUGAGAGGAUGACCAGCCACACUGGAACUGAGACACGGUCCAGACUCCUACGGGAGGCAGCAGUGGGGAAUAUUGCACAAUGGGCGCAAGCCUGAUGCAGCCAUGCCGCGUGUAUGAAGAAGGCCUUCGGGUUGUAAAGUACUUUCAGCGGGGAGGAAGGGAGUAAAGUUAAUACCUUUGCUCAUUGACGUUACCCGCAGAAGAAGCACCGGCUAACUCCGUGCCAGCAGCCGCGGUAAUACGGAGGGUGCAAGCGUUAAUCGGAAUUACUGGGCGUAAAGCGCACGCAGGCGGUUUGUUAAGUCAGAUGUGAAAUCCCCGGGCUCAACCUGGGAACUGCAUCUGAUACUGGCAAGCUUGAGUCUCGUAGAGGGGGGUAGAAUUCCAGGUGUAGCGGUGAAAUGCGUAGAGAUCUGGAGGAAUACCGGUGGCGAAGGCGGCCCCCUGGACGAAGACUGACGCUCAGGUGCGAAAGCGUGGGGAGCAAACAGGAUUAGAUACCCUGGUAGUCCACGCCGUAAACGAUGUCGACUUGGAGGUUGUGCCCUUGAGGCGUGGCUUCCGGAGCUAACGCGUUAAGUCGACCGCCUGGGGAGUACGGCCGCAAGGUUAAAACUCAAAUGAAUUGACGGGGGCCCGCACAAGCGGUGGAGCAUGUGGUUUAAUUCGAUGCAACGCGAAGAACCUUACCUGGUCUUGACAUCCACGGAAGUUUUCAGAGAUGAGAAUGUGCCUUCGGGAACCGUGAGACAGGUGCUGCAUGGCUGUCGUCAGCUCGUGUUGUGAAAUGUUGGGUUAAGUCCCGCAACGAGCGCAACCCUUAUCCUUUGUUGCCAGCGGUCCGGCCGGGAACUCAAAGGAGACUGCCAGUGAUAAACUGGAGGAAGGUGGGGAUGACGUCAAGUCAUCAUGGCCCUUACGACCAGGGCUACACACGUGCUACAAUGGCGCAUACAAAGAGAAGCGACCUCGCGAGAGCAAGCGGACCUCAUAAAGUGCGUCGUAGUCCGGAUUGGAGUCUGCAACUCGACUCCAUGAAGUCGGAAUCGCUAGUAAUCGUGGAUCAGAAUGCCACGGUGAAUACGUUCCCGGGCCUUGUACACACCGCCCGUCACACCAUGGGAGUGGGUUGCAAAAGAAGUAGGUAGCUUAACCUUCGGGAGGGCGCUUACCACUUUGUGAUUCAUGACUGGGGUGAAGUCGUAACAAGGUAACCGUAGGGGAACCUGCGGUUGGAUCACCU